Molecule: ribosomal RNA, 462 nt
Filed under: uncultured bacterium
Lineage: Bacteria
Description: partial 16S ribosomal RNA
Rfam family: Bacterial small subunit ribosomal RNA
Source: RNAcentral
GAUAAACGCUGGCGGCGUGCUUAACACAUGCAAGUCGAACGAAGUUUUUCCUUCGGGAGAAACUUAGUGGCGGACGGGUGGGUAACGCGUGGGUAACCUGCCCUGUACAGGGGGACAACAGCUGUAAACGGCUGCUAAUACCGCAUAAGCCCUUAGCACUGCAUGGUGCAUAGGGAAAAGGAGCAAUCCGGUACAGGAUGGACCCGCGUCUGAUUAGCCAGUUGGCAGGGUAACGGCCUACCAAAGCGACGAUCAGUAGCCGAUCUGAGAGGAUGUACGGCCACAUUGGGACUGAGACACGGCCCAGACUCCUACGGGAGGCAGCAGUGGGGAAUAUUGCACAAUGGAGGAAACUCUGAUGCAGCGACGCCGCGUGAGUGAAGAAGUAUUUCGGUAUGUAAAGCUCUAUCAGCAGGGAAGAAAAUGACGGUACCUGACUAAGAAGCACCGGCUAAAUACGUG